GCCAGUGUGGUAUAGUGGUUUGAGUUUUGGACUAUGACUCUGAAGACCAGGGUUCAAACCCCUGCUUGGCA
This is a non-coding RNA of Phrynosoma platyrhinos (Desert horned lizard), 71 nucleotides long. The record is from the annotation of a GenBank genome assembly. Lineage: Eukaryota; Metazoa; Chordata; Lepidosauria; Squamata; Phrynosomatidae.